UACGGAGGGUGCAAGCGUUAAUCGGAAUUACUGGGCGUAAAGCGUGCGUAGGCGGUUCGUUAAGUCAGAUGUGAAAGCCCCGGGCUUAACCUGGGAACUGCAUUUGAAACUGGCGGACUUGAGUUGAGUAGAGGGGAGUGGAAUUUCAGGUGUAGCGGUGAAAUGCGUAGAUAUCUGAAGGAACACCAGUGGCGAAGGCGACUCCCUGGACUCAAACUGACGCUGAGGUACGAAAGCGUGGGUAGCAAACAGG
This 253-nucleotide ribosomal RNA is filed under the name uncultured bacterium. RNAcentral describes it as "partial 16S ribosomal RNA". It matches the Rfam family "Bacterial small subunit ribosomal RNA", at positions 524 to 776 of the family's 1533-position model. The record is from RNAcentral. RNAcentral also lists the same sequence under 1 other name.